RNAcentral lists this ribosomal RNA (520 nucleotides) under uncultured bacterium. RNAcentral's name for it is "bacterial SSU rRNA". It matches the Rfam family "Bacterial small subunit ribosomal RNA", at positions 25 to 518 of the family's 1533-position model. The record is from RNAcentral.
CAGGACGAACGCUGGCGGCGUGCCUAAUACAUGCAAGUCGAACGGUCUUUCUAUGGAAGCUUGCUUCCACUGAGAAGAUAGUGGCGAACGGGUGAGUAACACGUGGGUAACCUGCCCAUAAGAGGGGGAUAACAUCCGGAAACGGGUGCUAAUACCGCAUAGUUUCUUGAUCGCAUGAUCGGGAAAGGAAAGACGGCCUUUGUGCUGUCGCUUAUGGAUGGACCCGCGGCGUAUUAGUUAGUUGGUGAGGUAACGGCUCACCAAGACGAUGAUACGUAGCCGACCUGAGAGGGUGAUCGGCCACAUUGGGACUGAGACACGGCCCAAACUCCUACGGGAGGCAGCAGUAGGGAAUCUUCCGCAAUGGACGAAAGUCUGACGGAGCAACGCCGCGUGAGUGAAGAAAAGGUUUUCGGAUCGUAAAACUCUGUUGUCAGAGAAGAACAAGUUGGAGAGCAACUGCUCCAGCCUUGACGGUAUCUGACCAGAAAGCCACGGCUAACUACGUGCCAGCCGCCGC